UGCAGUCGAACGCAGUAGCAAUACUGAGUGGCGAACGGGUGAGUAUAAUGUAGGUAUCUGCCUUUUGGUUUGGAAUAACACGAGGAAACUUGUGCUAAUACCGGAUAAGCCUUCACAGGGAAAGUUUUAACGCCAAAAGAUGAGCCUGCACUUGAUUAGCUAGUUGGUAAGGUAAUGGCUUACCAAGGCUACGAUCAAUAGCUGAUCUGAGAGGAUGAUCAGCCACAUUGGGACUGAGACACGGCCCAAACUCAUACGGGAGGCAGCAGUGGGGAAUCUUGCACAAUGGGGGAAACCCUGAUGCAGCGAUGCCGCGUGAGUGAAGAAGGCCUUUGGGUUGUAAAGCUCUUUCGUCGGGGAAGACAAUGACUGUACCCGAAUAAGAAGGUCCGGCUAACUUCGUGCCAGCAGCCGCGGUAAUACGAAGGGACCUAGCGUAGUUCGGAAUUACUGGGCUUAAAGAGCACGUAGGUGGUUAAAAAAGUUGGUGGUGAAAUCCCAGGGCUUAACUCUGGAACUGCCAUCAAAACUUUUUAGCUAGAGUAUGAUAGAGGAAAGUAGAAUUUCUAGUGUAGAGGUGAAAUUCGUAGAUAUUAGAAAGAAUACCAAUUGCGAAGGCAGCUUUCUGGAUCAUUACUGACACUGAGGAACGAAAGCAUGGGUAGCGAAGAGGAUUAGAUACCCUCGUAGUCCAUGCCGUAAACGAUGUGUGUUAGACGUUGGAAAUUUAUUUUCAGUGUCGCAGGGAAACCGAUGAACACACCGCCUGGGGAGUACGACCGCAAGGUUAAAACUCAAAUGAAUUGACGGGGA
Molecule: ribosomal RNA, 813 nt
Filed under: uncultured marine bacterium
Lineage: Bacteria
Description: bacterial SSU rRNA
Rfam family: Bacterial small subunit ribosomal RNA
Source: RNAcentral